Molecule: ribosomal RNA, 344 nt
Filed under: uncultured bacterium
Lineage: Bacteria
Description: partial 16S ribosomal RNA
Rfam family: Bacterial small subunit ribosomal RNA
Source: RNAcentral
CCUACGGGAGGCAGCAGUGGGGAAUAUUGCUCAAUGGGGGAAACCCUGAUGCAGCGACGCCGCGUGAGUGAAGAAGUAAUUCGUUAUGUUAAGCUCCUUUUGUAGGGAAGAAAAUGACGGUACCUGUGUAAGAAUCCCCGGCUAACUACGUGCCAGAAGCCGUGGCAAUACGUAGGGGGCAAGCGUUAUCCGGAUUUACUGGGUGUAAAGGGAGCGUAGGCGGUUCGCUAAGUCUGGAGUGAAAUGCCGCAGCUGAACUGCGGAACUGCUUUGGAAACUGGCGAACUAGAGUGCGGGUGGGGUAAGCGGAAUUCCUGGUGUAGCGGUGAAAUGCUUAGAUAUUA